RNAcentral lists this ribosomal RNA (548 nucleotides) under uncultured Glomeromycotina. Its description in RNAcentral is "SSU rRNA". It matches the Rfam family "Eukaryotic small subunit ribosomal RNA", at positions 548 to 1098 of the family's 1831-position model. The record is from RNAcentral. Lineage: Eukaryota; Fungi; Glomeromycota.
UUGGAGGGCAAGUCUGGUGCCAGCAGCCGCGGUAAUUCCAGCUCCAAUAGCGUAUAUUAAAGUUGCUGCAGUUAAAAAGCUCGUAGUUGAAUUUCGGGACUAUCAUGUCGGUCGUGCCUCGGUACGUACUGGUAUUGUUGGUUUCUCCCUUCUGACGAACCAUGAUGUCAUUUAUUUGGUGUUGUGGGAAAUCAGGACUGUUACUUUGAAAAAAUUAGAGUGUUUAAAGCAGGCACACGCUUGAAUACAUUAGCAUGGAAUAAUGAAAUAGGACGUUUGAUUCUAUUUUGUUGGUUUCUAGGAUCGACGUAAUGAUUAAUAGGGAUAGUUGGGGGCAUUAGUAUUCAAUUGUCAGAGGUGAAAUUCUUGGAUUUAUUGAAGACUAACUACUGCGAAAGCAUUUGCCAAGGAUGUUUUCAUUAAUCAAGAACGAAAGUUAGGGGAUCGAAGACGAUCAGAUACCGUCGUAGUCUUAACCAUAAACUAUGCCGACUAGGGAUCGGAUGAUGUUAAUUUUUUAAUGACUCAUUCGGCGCCUUACGGGAAAC